GGAGACCCAGGCUCAGGCUUGGAAACUAACUCAACCAAGCCACCCGAGACCUUGACUGUAACGAAAGCUAAUCAAUACAAAUAUCACAAAGAAGCAAGAGAAUUCAUGUGAAAAGUAAAGAUGAUGAAAAUACAUUUUUCAUUAAUCAAAAAGUUUAUUUACAAAAUUUUGCCAAAGAGAGGGCACUAAAAAUAAACACACAAAAAAAAAGAAAGAAUCAGUCUUCAUUCGAAGAAAACACCCCA
RNAcentral lists this long non-coding RNA (245 nucleotides) under Elaeis guineensis (African oil palm). Its description in RNAcentral is "long non-coding RNA (EGUI_LNC014017)". Lineage: Eukaryota; Viridiplantae; Streptophyta; Magnoliopsida; Arecales; Arecaceae. The record is from RNAcentral.